CCCUAAUCUUUUUUCCCCAGCCGAAGAGAGGCGGAGACUAGUGGCGGCGGCGGCACACGAGUGCACUCGGCGCGCGAUGGCUUCCAGCUCCAAGCGCCGGUGAGGCGGACGGUGGCCGGCGAUGGGACGCGACGCGCGGCGGCGGCGCGCCGGCACUGCAGCAGCCAGGGCACGCGGCUCACCGGCCACUGGCCGCUGGGGCAUGGGGGCGCCGGGCGGCAGCAAGGCAGCCAGGCAGGGCGCGGCGCGCGGGCGGGCUGGCGGGGGGACGCGGCGGCGCGCCGACACAGCAGCAGCCAAAGAGGCAACAAGGCAAGCAGGCAGCAGCGCCGGGCAGCAACAAGGCAGGCGGCAAGCCGGACAGCACCAACCAGGCAACCACCAAGGCAGCAAGGCAAGCAACAGCGCCAAGAGGCAAGGCAACAACUCAACAAUUGAGGAUUUGAGCAAGUGAGAUUACCCCUGAUGAAGAAUAAUUGGCGAUAGGGUGUGCUAGUGUCGCACAUCGUGUCAUCAUCUAUUGGAUAUUUCAAGAUUGUUUUGGUAUGGAUAAUACUUAUUUCUCGUUAAUUCUAUAUAUUUACACUUUGUAUUAGAUAUAUAGUCAAUUUACAUAAGACAUGUCUCGAUUUUUGUCGGCCAAUUUUAGUUCAGCCCCCACUAUAAUGUAAUUCUGGCUCCACCACUGAUCACCGUUGACUGCCUAAGAUCGUUGGAUCUUGCUGUAGCUAGAGGAGGAGGACGGGUAUGAAUUGCCGAGCAGAUCCUAAGAUCAAAAUUUGUAAGAUUUUGCUCAUAAUUUCCCGUCCAAUGCGAUUUAGCAAUUUUUCCUUUUUUUUUA
This is a long non-coding RNA of Oryza sativa Japonica Group (Japanese rice), 841 nucleotides long. RefSeq lists it as uncharacterized. The record is from RefSeq and is a predicted model, not a curated record. NCBI's taxonomy places the organism in Eukaryota, Viridiplantae, Streptophyta, Magnoliopsida, Poales, Poaceae.